Molecule: microRNA precursor, 100 nt
Filed under: Marmota monax (woodchuck)
Lineage: Eukaryota; Metazoa; Chordata; Mammalia; Rodentia; Sciuridae
Source: RNAcentral
AGUGGGAAAACUGGGUCAGAUGGUCAAAUUCCAAGUUUUCUGAGGAAUCUCCAUUUUGCUUUCCAUAGUGGUUGCACCAUUUUGCAGUCCCAUCAGCAAU